GUAUGAAUCUAUAUGUAGUGAGCUCACCCUAGUGGUGAUGAGGUCAAUAGGAGCUGUAUAAAUCUAUAUGUAGUGAGCUCGCCCUAGUGAUAAUGAGGUCAAUGGGAGCUGUAUAAAUCUAUAUGUAGUGAGCUCGCCCUAGUGGUGAUGAGGUCAAUGGGAGCUGUAUGAAUCUAUAUGUAGUGAGCUCGCCCUAGUGGUGAUGAGGUCAAUGGGAGCUGUUUAAAUCUAUAUGUAGUGAGCUCGCCCUAGUGGUGAUGAGAUCAAUGGGAGCUGUAUGAAUCUAUAUGUAGUGAGCUUUCCCUAGUGGUGAUGUCAAUGGGAGCUGUAUAAAUCUAUAUGUAGUGAGCUCGCCCUAGUGAUGAUGAGGUCAAUGGGAGCUGUAUAAAUCUAUAUGUAGUGAGCUCGCCCUAGUGAUGAUGAGGUCAAUAGGAGCUGUAUGGAUCUAUAUGUAGUGAGCUCGCCCUAGUGCUGAUGAGGUCAAUGGGAGCUGUAUAAAUCU
Molecule: long non-coding RNA, 502 nt
Organism: Bufo bufo (common toad)
Lineage: Eukaryota; Metazoa; Chordata; Amphibia; Anura; Bufonidae
Exons: 3
Source: RefSeq, a predicted model, not a curated record